CUGGCUCAGGAUGAACGCUGGCGGCGUGCCUAACACAUGCAAGUCGAACGGAGAUUUAACGCUGAUGAGGCUUCGGCGGAUUCUUGUUAAAUCUUAGUGGCGGACGGGUGAGUAACGCGUGGG
RNAcentral lists this ribosomal RNA (123 nucleotides) under Butyrivibrio hungatei DSM 14810. RNAcentral's name for it is "16S rRNA. Bacterial SSU". It matches the Rfam family "Bacterial small subunit ribosomal RNA", at positions 19 to 121 of the family's 1533-position model. The record is from RNAcentral. Lineage: Bacteria; Bacillati; Bacillota; Clostridia; Lachnospirales; Lachnospiraceae.